CAGCCGCGGUAAUACGGAGGGUGCGAGCGUUAAUCGGAAUGACUGGGCGUAAAGGGCACGCAGGCGGUGACUUAAGUGAGAUGUGAAAGCCCCGAGCUUAACUUGGGAAUUGCAUUUCAUACUGGGUGGCUAGAGUAUUUUAGGGAGGGGUAGAAUUCCACGUGUAGCGGUGAAAUGCGUAGAGAUGUGGAGGAAUACCGAAGGCGAAGGCAGCCCCUUGGGAAAAUACUGACGCUCAUGUGCGAAAGCGUGGGG
RNAcentral lists this ribosomal RNA (255 nucleotides) under Glaesserella parasuis. RNAcentral's name for it is "partial 16S ribosomal RNA". It matches the Rfam family "Bacterial small subunit ribosomal RNA", at positions 512 to 766 of the family's 1533-position model. Lineage: Bacteria; Pseudomonadati; Pseudomonadota; Gammaproteobacteria; Pasteurellales; Pasteurellaceae. The record is from RNAcentral.